GACGAACGCUGGCGGCGUGCUUAACACAUGCAAGUCGAACGGUAAGGCUCCAGCUUGCUGGGGUACACGAUUGGCGAACGGGUGAGUAACACGUGGGUGACCUGCCCUGCACUUCGGGAUAAGCCUGGGAAACUGGGUCUAAUACCGGAUAGGACCGCACCGUGAGGGUGUGUUGGAAAGUUUUUUCGGUCUGGGAUGGGCCUGCGGCCUAUCAGCUUGUUGGUGGGGUAAUGGCCUACCAAGUCGGCGACGGGCAGCCGGCCUGAGAGGGUGGACGGCCACAUUGGGACUGAGACACGGACCAGAAUGCAACGGGAGGCAGCAGUGGGGAAUAUUGCACAAUGGGCGGAAGCCUGAUGCAACGAAGCCGCGUGGGGGAUGACGGGCUUCGGGUUGUAAACUCCUUUCACCAUAGACGAAGGGUUUCUGACGGUAGAUGGAGAAGAAGCACCGGCUAACUACGUG
Molecule: ribosomal RNA, 465 nt
Filed under: uncultured bacterium
Lineage: Bacteria
Description: partial 16S ribosomal RNA
Rfam family: Bacterial small subunit ribosomal RNA
Source: RNAcentral